Molecule: long non-coding RNA, 1369 nt
Organism: Cyprinus carpio (common carp)
Lineage: Eukaryota; Metazoa; Chordata; Actinopteri; Cypriniformes; Cyprinidae
Source: Ensembl
GAAACUUAUACAGGUUUUGGGUGAACUCUUCCUUUAACUACAUUGGUUUAAAUAAUAUUAUCUCAUCCUGAGAAAGUAAAGUUACCCAGUUGAAUUCUGAUAACAGACUUUAAAUUGAAUCCUCAUUAAAACUUUUCUUACUAAAGUAAAAAAGAAAUGUUAGCAACGUUGACUUCAAAGAGGCUUGAUAAUCUUCAAAGCUUUUGUCCCUUUAAUGUUUCUUUAAUAAGGUGGAUUAUUCUGUUUCAGGCUCAUCAACUGGUUCUCCCAUCAUCUGAGUAACUUCCAGUUUAGAUGGAGCUGGGAUGACUGGUGAGGAGGAGCUGUUUCCUCUGGGAAUUAUUUGUACAGGCUGUGCAUUGUCUAAAAGUUGUUUAUUUUAUAUAAGUAUUGAAUUUUGAUCUCUUCAGGGCUGACUGCUUGACUCAAGAUAUUGAAAAGCCUAAACCCAAGUUCGUUAAAGAGGUUUUGGAAAAGUGUAUGAGGUUGUCGUACCAUCAGCGCAUAGUGGACAUUGUUCCGCCGAGUUUCACUGCCCUGAUCCCGGCUAACCCUGUGUGUAGCUAUAAAUACGGAGACGAGGCUGACAGUAUGUUCAUGCUCACAAACACAUCUGUGAUUCAAUGUGUACAUUUAUAUGCAUGCAUGUAUACAUGUCUUUGAUUUUUACGUUCUCAUAGUGACAACCGACCACUUCCACUACGUUUUAUUAUUUAUUGUUUUGCAGCUACAUUAUAUCUCAGUGUAGUUUGGUGAUACUGUUGUGUAAUGUUGCUUGUCUAUUUCUUUUAAUUUGUUUCAGGUUCAUUACCAGGAUUAGCUAUGACAACUACAGUGGGUAACGCUAUCAAAAACCGGGCAUCUAAUGAGGAGAUUCUCAUUGUUCUGAAAGAUGUCCCUAAUCCAAACCAGGAUGAUGAUGAUGGUGGGUCAGCCUUUUGGUCUCAUAUGACAUUAAGCCACUUGCCAAUCAUAGUCCAGCAUCUAGUCUAGGGCAGGGGUCCUCAACUCUGGAACUUGAGAUUCACUUUCCUGCAGAGAUUAGCUCCAAACUGGAUUAAACACACCUACCUGGAACUUUGUAGUAAUACUGAAGACCUUGAUUAGCUUGUUCAGGUGUGUUUGAUUUUGGAGCUAACUCUGCAGGGAAGUGGAUCUUGAGGUCCAGAGUUGAGGACCCCUGGUCUAGCGCUAUCAAUUGAAUAUAAAUAGAUAAUUGUUAAAGAUAUUCAAUUCAAUUAACUAAAUAUUAUGUAUUUAAUAUUUAUGUACGUAAUUCAUAAUGCAUGUAUAUACAUUUCAUUAAAUAAUCCUGAAAAAAGUCACUAUAAUACAAUAAUAUAAUACAAUGAUUUCUGAAGGAUCAUGU